Molecule: ribosomal RNA, 2973 nt
Filed under: Candidatus Eiseniibacteriota bacterium
Lineage: Bacteria; Candidatus Eiseniibacteriota
Description: 23S ribosomal RNA
Rfam family: Bacterial large subunit ribosomal RNA
Source: RNAcentral
GGUCAAGUUACAAAGAGCGCACAAUGGAUGCCUUGGCAUCAGAAGGCGACGAAGGACGUGGUAAGCUGCGAUAAGCUUCGGGGAGCGGCAAACACGCUUUGAUCCGGAGAUUUCCGAAUGGGGAAACCCGGACCGAUUAAUAUCGGUCCACUGGAGUCUGAAUACAUAGGGCUUCAGAGCUAUACCCGGUGAAGUGAAACAUCUCAGUAACCGGAGGAGAAGAAAACAAUCGUGAUUCCGUAAGUAGUGGCGAGCGAAAGCGGAACAGCCUAAACCUUCCGACUUGUCGGGAGGGGUUGCGGGACUCUAACGUGGUAUCGGACGGCAUAGCAGAAUGAUCUGGAAAGAUCAUCCAUAGAGGGUGAUAGACCCGUAUGCGAAAUGCUGAACGGACCUAGGAGUAUCCCAAGUAGAGCGGGACACGUGAAAUCCAGCUCGAAUCCGGAGGGUCCAACCUCCAAGGCUAAAUACUCACUGAUGACCGAUAGUGAACUAGUACCGUGAGGGAAAGGUGAAAAGAACCCCUGUUAGGGGAGUGAAAUAGUACCUGAAAUUGUGUGCUUACAAACUAUGGUAGUCCUCGGCGCGCAAGCGUCGCAGGAUGGCCGUUUGCCUUUUGCAUAAUGAGUCCGCGAGUUACGGUAGGCAGCCAGGUUAAUCCGUCGGCUGACGGAGAAGCCGCAGCGAAAGCGAGUGUGAAUAGCGCGAAUCAGUUGCCUGCUGUAGACCCGAAACCGGGUGAGCUACCCAUGGUCAGGCCGAAUCCUCAGUAACAUGAGGUGGAGGGCCGAACUAGUGACCGUUGAAAAGGUCUUGGAUGAACUGUGGGUAGGAGCGAAAGACUUAUCAAACUCGGUGAUAGCUGGUUCUCUUCGAAAUAGCUUUAGGGCUAGCCUGCAUCAAUGCUCGAAGUGGUGGUAGAGCACUGAAUGGUAUAGGGUCCUUACCGGGAUACCAAAGCCAAUCAAACUCCGAAUACUACUUCAGUCAGAUGUGGAGUCAGACUCUGGGGGAUAAGCUUCAGAGUCGAAAGGAAAACAGUCCAGCCCGCCGGCUAAGGCCCCAAAAGUUGGUUAAGUGACUAAGGAUGUAAGAUUGCAAAGACAGCGAGGAUGUUGGCUUAGAGGCAGCCAUCAUUUAAACAGUGCGUAAUAGCUGACUCGUCGAGUGAUCUUGCGCCGAAAAUGAUCGGGACUAAAUCAACUGCCGAAGCCGCGGAUGUCAUCCCGUUUAGGCGGGAUGGCGUGGUAGAAGAGCGUUCCAUUUGGAGUGAAGCGGGAGGGGAACCGACCGUGGACCGGAUGGAAGUGAUUAUGCGGACAUGAGUAACGAAAAGUCCGAUGAAAAUUCGGACCGCCGUAAUCCUGAGAUUUCCUGGGGAAGGUUCGUCCACCCAGGGUUAGCCGGCCCCUUAGCCAAGGCCGAAAGGCGUAGGUGAUGGGAAACAGGUUCAAUAUUCCUGUGCCGCCGGUCUGACGUUUGAGCGAGGGAGUGACGCAGUAGGCUAAAUCAGCCAUCGACUGGAAGUGAUGGCCGAAACCUUUAGAGGGCCCUGGUCGGCAAAUCCGCCGGGGCAUUAACCUUGAGGGGCGUAAGGACGCUGAGUAGCGAUACAAGGCGGAUUGAUUGAUGCCACACUGACAAGAAAUAGCUUCUAAGCGAGUCAGGCAGGCGACCGUAUUCAAACCGACACAGGUGGGAUGGUAGAAUAUACCAAGGCGCGCGAGAUAAACCUCGUUAAGGAACUCGGCAAAUUAGCCCCGUAACUUCGGAAGAAGGGGUCCUUUCCAGUGUAAUCGCAAGAAAGCACAGGGAAGGCGCAGUGAAAUGGCCCAGGCGACUGUUUAACAAAAACACAGCACUCUGCGAACUCGUAAGAGGAUGUAUAGGGUGUGACACGUGACCAAUGCCGAAAGGUUAAGGCAAGGGGUUAGCCGCAAGGCAAAGCUCUGAACUGAAGCCCCGGUGAAUGUCGGCCGUAACUAUAACGGUCCUAAGGUAGCGAAAUUCCUUGGCGGGUAAGUUCCGUCCUGCACGAAUCGUGUAACGAUCUGGGCACUGUCUCAACGAGGAUCUCGGUGAAGUUGUACUUCCGGUGAAAAUGCCGGAUACCCGCAGAAGGACGGAAAGACCCCGUGAACCUUUACUGUAUUCUGAUAUUGGAUCUCGGUUUUUCAUAUGUAGCAUAGCUGGGAGACUUUGAAGCGCCGGCGCUAGCCGGAGUGGAGUCAACAGUGAAAUACCAGUUUUGGAUAACUAAGAUUCUAACCCCUUUCCCGUGAAUCCGGGAGGGGAACAGUGUUAGAUGGUCAGUUUGACUGGGGCGGUUUCCUCCCAAAUGGUAACGGAGGAGUUCGAAGGUUCUCUCAUCAUGGUUGGCAAUCAUGAGUAGAGCGUAAGGGUAGAAGAGAGCUUAACUGCGAGACCUACAAGUCGAGCAGGUGCGAAAGCAGGACCUAGUGACCCGGUGGUUGCUUGUGGUAGCGCCAUCGCUCAUCGGACAAAAGGUACUCCGGGGAUAACAGGCUGAUCGCUGCCAAGAGUUCACAUCGACGCAGCGGUUUGGCACCUCGAUGUCGGCUCAUCGCAUCCUGGGGCUGAAGAAGGUCCCAAGGGUUUGGCUGUUCGCCAAUUAAAGCGGUACGUGAGCUGGGUUUAGAACGUCGUGAGACAGUUCGGUCCCUAUCCGUCGUGGGCGCAGGAGACUUGAGGGAAGCUGUCCUUCGUACGAGAGGACUGGGAUGGACAAACCUCUGGUGUACCGGUUGUCGCGCCAGCGGCAUCGCCGGGUAGCUAUGUUUGGAACGGAUAAGCGCUGAAAGCAUCUAAGCGCGAAGCCGAUCCCAAGAUGAGGUCUCCCGCGGAAUAAUCCGCCUAAAGGCCCCUUCGAGACGAGGAGGUUGAUAGGCCGGAGGUGUACGCACAGUAAUGUGUUUAGCCGACCGGUACUAAUAGGCCGUGCGGCUUGACCGG